This 460-nucleotide ribosomal RNA is filed under the name uncultured bacterium. RNAcentral describes it as "partial 16S ribosomal RNA". It matches the Rfam family "Bacterial small subunit ribosomal RNA", at positions 338 to 795 of the family's 1533-position model. The record is from RNAcentral.
CCUACGGGAGGCUGCAGUGAGGAAUAUUGGUCAAUGGUCGGGAGACUGAACCAGCCAAGCCGCGUGAGGGAGGACGGUCCAGAGUAUCGUAAACCUCUUUUAUCAGGGAACAAAGGCGGGGACGUAUCCCCGGAUGAGUGUACCUGAAGAAAAAGCAUCGGCUAACUCCGUGCCAGCAGCCGCGGUAAUACGGAGGAUGCGAGCGUUAUCCGGAUUUAUUGGGCGUAAAGGGAACGCAGGCGGUCUUUUAAGUCUGAUGUGAAAGCCUUCGGCUGAACCGGAGUAGUGCAUUGGAUACUGGGAGACUUGAGUGCAGAAGAGGAGAGUGGAACUCAAGGUGUAGCGGUGAAAUGCGUAGAUAUAUGGAAGAACACCAGUGGCGAAAGCGGCUCUCUGGUCUGUAACUGACGCUGAGGUUCGAAAGUGUGGGUAGCAAACAGGAUUAGAUACCCGAGUAGUC